UAACCUGCCCAAGAGAUCGGGAUAACACCUGGAAACAGAUGCUAAUACCGGAUAACAACAGAUGAUGCCUAUCAACUGUUUAAAAGAUGGUUCUGCUAUCACUCUUGGAUGGACCUGCGGUGCAUUAGCUAGUUGGUAGGGUAACGGCCUACCAAGGCGAUGAUGCAUAGCCGAGUUGAGAGACUGAUCGGCCACAUUGGGACUGAUACACGGCCCAAACUCCUACGGGAGGCAGCAGGC
This 240-nucleotide ribosomal RNA is filed under the name uncultured Lactobacillus sp. RNAcentral describes it as "partial 16S ribosomal RNA". It matches the Rfam family "Bacterial small subunit ribosomal RNA", at positions 122 to 354 of the family's 1533-position model. The record is from RNAcentral. Lineage: Bacteria; Bacillati; Bacillota; Bacilli; Lactobacillales; Lactobacillaceae.